UACGGAGGAUGCAAGCGUUAUCCGGAAUUAUUGGGCGUAAAGCGUCCGCAGGUGGCACUUCAAGUCUGUCGUCAAAGACCGGGGCUUAACCCUGGAAAGGCGAUGGAAACUGAAAGGCUAGAGAGAGGUAGGGGUAGAGGGAAUUCCCAGUGUAGCGGUGAAAUGCGUAGGGAUUGGGAAGAACAUCGGUGGCGAAAGCGCUCUACUGGACCUCAUCUGACACUCAGGGACGAAAGCUAGGGGAGCGAAUGGG
RNAcentral lists this ribosomal RNA (253 nucleotides) under uncultured bacterium. Its description in RNAcentral is "partial 16S ribosomal RNA". It matches the Rfam family "Bacterial small subunit ribosomal RNA", at positions 524 to 776 of the family's 1533-position model. The record is from RNAcentral.